UACGUAGGGGGCUAGCGUUGUCCGGAAUCAUUGGGCGUAAAGCGCGUGUAGGCGGCCAUGUAGGUCUGACGUGAAAUUCCGAGGCUCAACCUCGGCAGGUCGUUGGAAACCAUAUGGCUAGAGUCCGGAAGAGGAGAGUGGAAUUCCUGGUGUAGCGGUGAAAUGCGCAGAUAUCAGGAAGAACACCAAUGGCGAAGGCAGCUCUCUGGGACGGUACUGACGCUGAGACGCGAAAGCGUGGGGAGCGAACAGG
RNAcentral lists this ribosomal RNA (253 nucleotides) under uncultured bacterium. RNAcentral describes it as "partial 16S ribosomal RNA". It matches the Rfam family "Bacterial small subunit ribosomal RNA", at positions 524 to 776 of the family's 1533-position model. The record is from RNAcentral.